Molecule: transfer RNA, 90 nt
Filed under: Altererythrobacter lutimaris
Lineage: Bacteria; Pseudomonadati; Pseudomonadota; Alphaproteobacteria; Sphingomonadales; Erythrobacteraceae
Also listed under: 1 other name
Description: Altererythrobacter sp. JGD-16 tRNA-Ser
Rfam family: tRNA
About the family: Transfer RNA (tRNA) molecules are approximately 80 nucleotides in length.
Source: RNAcentral
GGAGAGAUGCCGGAGUGGUCGAACGGGGCGGUCUCGAAAACCGUUGUGCUCGCAAGAGUACCCAGGGUUCGAAUCCCUGUCUCUCCGCCA